AACGAACGCUGGCGGCAGGCCUAACACAUGCAAGUCGAGCGCCCAGCCUUUUAAGUGACCGUGAAGACCGUUUUUGGUUUUAUAUCGGCCCCUUAAAUGGCUGGGAGCGGCGGACGGGUGAGUAACGCGUGGGAAUAUGCCCUUCACUACGGAAUAGCCCAGGGAAACUUGGAUUAAUACCGUAUACGCCCUUUUGGGGAAAGAAUUUCGGUGAGGGAUUAGCCCGCGUUGGAUUAGGUAGUUGGUGGGGUAAUGGCCUACCAAGCCGACGAUCCAUAGCUGGUUUGAGAGGAUGAUCAGCCACACUGGGACUGAGACACGGCCCAGACUCCUACGGGAGGCAGCAGUGGGGAAUCUUAGACAAUGGGGGCAACCCUGAUCUAGCCAUGCCGCGUGAGUGAUGAAGGCCUUAGGGUUGUAAAGCUCUUUCAGCUGGGAAGAUAAUGACGGUACCAGCAGAAGAAGCCCCGGCUAACUCCGUGCCAGCCGCCGCCGUAACAC
RNAcentral lists this ribosomal RNA (501 nucleotides) under uncultured bacterium. Its description in RNAcentral is "bacterial SSU rRNA". It matches the Rfam family "Bacterial small subunit ribosomal RNA", at positions 29 to 526 of the family's 1533-position model. The record is from RNAcentral.